This 429-nucleotide small RNA is filed under the name Pan troglodytes (chimpanzee). Its description in RNAcentral is "processed transcript". Lineage: Eukaryota; Metazoa; Chordata; Mammalia; Primates; Hominidae. The record is from RNAcentral.
CGCUUGCACGAGGCCUUCUCGCCCGUCAGCUACCAGCACGACCUGGCUCUGUUGCGCCUUCAGGAGGAUGCGGACGGCAGCUGCGCGCUCCUGUCGCCUUACGUUCAGCCGGUGUGCCUGCCAAGCGGCGCCGCGCGACCCUCCGAGACCACGCUCUGCCAGGUGGCCGGCUGGGGCCACCAGUUCGAGGCUUCCUUGCCUAUGAAAUUGAAUUAAUGGCACCUCCUCCCCUUCGGGCUUGCUGCGAGAGAGGAAGGGCAUGAGUGGGUUUACAAGCGCCUGGAGCAGCUUUGUCCAUCGUCCGGGCGGCAAGCGUUGUCAGAUGGGGUGUGAAGAAGGCGCUCUGUGUUCGCAGGGGCGGAGGAAUAUGCCAGCUUCCUGCAGGAGGCGCAGGUACCCUUCCUCUCCCUGGAGCGCUGCUCAGCCCCG